This 22-nucleotide microRNA is filed under the name Eisenia fetida (common brandling worm). Its description in RNAcentral is "Efe-Mir-71-P2_3p* (star (passenger))". Lineage: Eukaryota; Metazoa; Annelida; Clitellata; Crassiclitellata; Lumbricidae. The record is from RNAcentral.
UCUUACUACAAUGUCUUUUGAC